Molecule: ribosomal RNA, 252 nt
Filed under: uncultured bacterium
Lineage: Bacteria
Description: partial 16S ribosomal RNA
Rfam family: Bacterial small subunit ribosomal RNA
Source: RNAcentral
UACGUAGGGGGCAAGCGUUGUCCGGAUUUAUUGGGCGUAAAGAGCGUGUAGGCGGCUUGGUAGGUCUUGCGUCAAAACCUGAGGCUCAACCUCAGUUCGCGUGGGAAACCACCUAGCUAGAGUCCGGAAGAGGAGAACGGAAUUCCCAGUGUAGCGGUGAAAUGCGCAGAUAUCGGGAAGAACACCCGUGGCGAAGGCGGUUCUCUGGGACGGUACUGACGCUGAGACGCGAAAGCGUGGGGAGCGAACAGG